UCUUCUAUGGGACACACCCAUGUGGUGCUGCAAUGACCAGCUCAGGAAAAGUCCUGCUUUGAAGGCCAAGCUUAUAUGAUUAAAAAAACGGAGAGAGUUAAAUUUCUUUUUGGUGCAUUUUGGCCACAAAACGUUGAUGUAAAUUUUUCCAAAGCCAAGACAACGAUUUCUUAUUGGUAAAAGCCAUCCGUGGGAGAUUCCUGCUUAAGAUAGUCUUGGGAUGAGGAGGUGAAAAGAAUGUUAGUGAGCCAGAGAGUUCUUGCUAAAUAGAGCUCUUUGCUUAUUAAAAAGACUUGAGGCUCUUGGGGAGCCCGUAACUUUAAAGCAGAUCAAGCAACCAGAACACUGGACAGAAUGUGGAAGGUAUGGAAGAACAAUGGACAUGAAACUCCAAAUGCAGCAUGGUGGAACGUGGACAAGGCCAAGCAGAAAAAUGAGAAUUGGCCUUAUAUUGUUUUCAAAAAUUAUCAACUUAAAUUAAAUUAUCAACAAAAGAGGAUGGCAAUUCACUUUAAACAGAGUCUGUGUCCUGGAAAUGAUUCACAGCAGGAUUCCUUUAAAUAGCAAGCAUCCUGGUGCUUAUGAUCCGGCAACAGACACGGGAUUCCACACUACUCUUCCUGAGUGGCCUUGAGCGACCUGUGAAGGAUGGGCCCCUGAAGGUGAAGAGGACAUCUCGCAUCUCUGCACCCCAAAGGAGUGGCGUCCUCUGCUAUGCCCAGGCUCAGCAGAGUGAGGAAUGGCUUCUUGGAAUUCAGUGAGGAUCGUUGGUGGUGAUUUUGCUGGCAGGAAUUCCUGGUCUCCAAAGCUCUGAAAACCACAGUUCUCAGAACGACUUAACAGGAAGCCUCACCCAGUAACAGAGGAAGCUGAGGAAGGAAGGGAAGAUGGCAGUGUUGGGGGAGGGUCACAGAUGAAACAAUAAGCGAAGUCACUGGCUUGGGACGACGUGGCCAGGGAAGCACCCCACCUAUGCCUUGCUGGCUGCUCCUGGGGCCUGCGCCAGGCACCCCACACUUUUGCUGCCUGGAUCAGCACUCUCUAGCCAGCUGACUCAGAAAAGUCCUCCCUGAGGACUUUGCACUCGGGGUUCCCUGUCUCUGGGACGCUUCCUUUCCAGGCUCCUCACCUCCAGUUCCUCUACCGAGCCACCACCAUCCUUCAAGACCUUCCAGGGCGAUGCUCACCUUGGUUUUAAGGAAGCAAUUGUUACCAUCUUCUCUCUCUUGCUGCCUGCAGAGUGGUUUGGGCUUUCCUCAUAAUAGUCACCCUAUUGCCUUGUUUGGAAGAAUUUAAU
RNAcentral lists this long non-coding RNA (1297 nucleotides) under Marmota marmota marmota (Alpine marmot). RNAcentral describes it as "lncRNA (ENSMMMG00000017462.1)". Lineage: Eukaryota; Metazoa; Chordata; Mammalia; Rodentia; Sciuridae. The record is from RNAcentral.